This 253-nucleotide unclassified non-coding RNA is filed under the name uncultured delta proteobacterium. RNAcentral's name for it is "contains 16S-23S intergenic spacer region". It matches the Rfam family "Bacterial small subunit ribosomal RNA", at positions 524 to 776 of the family's 1533-position model. Lineage: Bacteria; Deltaproteobacteria. The record is from RNAcentral.
UACAGGGGGUGCAAGCGUUACUCGGAAUUACUGGGCGUAAAGCGCAUGUAGGUGGCUUAAUAAGUUUGGUGUGAAAUCCCGGGGCUCAACCCCGGAAGUGCAUUGAAUACUGUUAGGCUGGAGUAUGGGAGAGGAGAGUGGAAUUCCUGGUGUAGAGGUGAAAUUCGUAGAUAUCAGGAGGAACACCGGUGGCGAAGGCGGCUCUCUGGACCAUUACUGACACUGAGAUGCGAAAGCGUGGGGAGCCAACAGG